Molecule: ribosomal RNA, 468 nt
Filed under: uncultured bacterium
Lineage: Bacteria
Description: partial 16S ribosomal RNA
Rfam family: Bacterial small subunit ribosomal RNA
Source: RNAcentral
GACGAACGCUGGCGGCGUGCUUAACACAUGCAAGUCGAACGGAAAGGCCCUGCUUUUGUGGGGUGCUCGAGUGGCGAACGGGUGAGUAACACGUGAGUAACCUGCCCUUGACUUUGGGAUAACUUCAGGAAACUGGGGCUAAUACCGGAUAGGAGCUCCUGCUGCAUGGUGGGGGUUGGAAAGUUUCGGCGGUUGGGGAUGGACUCGCGGCUUAUCAGCUUGUUGGUGGGGUAGUGGCUUACCAAGGCUUUGACGGGUAGCCGGCCUGAGAGGGUGACCGGCCACAUUGGGACUGAGAUACGGCCCAGACUCCUACGGGAGGCAGCAGUGGGGAAUAUUGCACAAUGGGCGGAAGCCUGAUGCAGCAACGCCGCGUGCGGGAUGACGGCCUUCGGGUUGUAAACCGCUUUCGCCUGUGACGAAGCGUGAGUGACGGUAAUCGGUAAAGAAGCACCGGCUAACUACGUA